AUUCAGCGUUGACAGGGGUUGUUCUGAAUGUAACAGGAUCCCGUGGCAGAUGUAAACCAGACUGCAGGCAUUUGCCUUAUGUUUCAAGAAAGAGGCCUUGGUUAUGUUACCUUGGAGUAAUGUUCUUAUGGUGUGAGACCUCUGUUGGAUGCAGACACAGCAGCACAUAUUCAGAUCUGUCUGCUCAUCAAGAAGAGAUGUCCUACCCUCAAUCUAGAGAUUAUCAUAGCCAAAAAAACCUCAAGGAAUCUGCAGAUCUCCUCUUAUCCCAUCUUCCCUGUGCAUGAUGAAACAACUGUACAGAGAGAAGGAACCUGUCCUCAAGACAUGGUCAAAUCUGUGGCCACCUGGCUGCCAAAUCAUUGCAAGAGAGCGGCUUCUGUUGCCUUCCCAUGCCUGGUGCUGCACUGCCCGGACCUAGAGGACCUGGAGAGCUCUUGGGAAGGAUCUUUGUUAUGUUGGCAUGUGACGGUGAAGAAUCAACAUUGCCCAGAGCUGAUUUAAAAACACUGAUGGUGAAGUGACACUGGGUGUACUCAGUGGGGUCCAUUGUGGCCACAUACCCCUUUCUCUUCAUCAUCCAAUCUGCCUCAAAAGGUAGGAAAGCACAUAGGGAAACUGAGGCACAAAGCUCUAACACAGAUCCUCCAAGGCACUUAAAUGCAUUCUUCUCUUUAAAAACAAGAGUGGAGCAUUUUUCUGACAUUCUUCAUGGUGUGACUCUGAGUCACCCGUUCAAGGUCAAGAAGGACGAUUGUAGAAAGGUGGUACAGAAAAACUGGAUGAAAGUUUUCUGCAAUUCAUCCCAGAAUAGGAAUUUUUUAGCCAAAAUAUGACCUGGCAGGAGGGAGAGCAGAAGGCUCGGAGGAGCUGCUCACAUCUCAGUGCAUCCCUUCCCCAAGG
RNAcentral lists this long non-coding RNA (903 nucleotides) under Coturnix japonica (Japanese quail). Its description in RNAcentral is "lncRNA (ENSCJPG00005014136.1)". Lineage: Eukaryota; Metazoa; Chordata; Aves; Galliformes; Phasianidae. The record is from RNAcentral.